AGAUUCGAUGGUGGAAGAGAAUUUUUCUUACUUCCGUGAGUUUUUCACUGAGAGUAAAGGUGGUCUGGAGAGAAUGUGGAAUUUGAAAGAAGAACUAAAAUAUCCUUAAGGCAUGAAAGUUUAUCCUUUCACCAGAGACUACAAUUAAUAUUUCAAGGCUGAAUUAGAUCUGCUCACCUAAAAUGGAACAGAAGGCCGCAAGGAAAACAUUGUCG
This 215-nucleotide long non-coding RNA is filed under the name Pan troglodytes (chimpanzee). Its description in RNAcentral is "long non-coding RNA NONPTRT001889". Lineage: Eukaryota; Metazoa; Chordata; Mammalia; Primates; Hominidae. The record is from RNAcentral.